RNAcentral lists this ribosomal RNA (253 nucleotides) under uncultured bacterium. Its description in RNAcentral is "partial 16S ribosomal RNA". It matches the Rfam family "Bacterial small subunit ribosomal RNA", at positions 524 to 776 of the family's 1533-position model. The record is from RNAcentral.
UACGGAGGGAGCUAGCGUUAUUCGGAAUUACUGGGCGUAAAGCGCACGUAGGCGGAUUGUUAAGUCGGGGGUGAAAUCCUGGAGCUCAACUCCAGAACUGCCUUCGAAACUGGCGAUCUUGAGUCCGGGAGAGGUGAGUGGAACUGCGAGUGUAGAGGUGAAAUUCGUAGAUAUGCGCAAGAACACCAGUGGCGAAGGCGGCUCACUGGCCCGGUACUGACGCUGAGGUGCGAAAGCGUGGGGAGCAAACAGG